GGAUUUGUAGUUAAAGUUAUAAUAGGGAUUUUGUAAAUCUCAGUUAAAUGAUGGUUUUGAGUCCA
RNAcentral lists this transfer RNA (65 nucleotides) under Meretrix lamarckii (Korean hard clam). RNAcentral's name for it is "tRNA-Thr". Lineage: Eukaryota; Metazoa; Mollusca; Bivalvia; Venerida; Veneridae. The record is from RNAcentral.